GAGAAAAGACAGAAAUGACCAUGAUGCAUCUUCCUCACUAUGAGAAAAAAGGUACCGUGUGAAGGUCUGGGCAUAUAACAGGAAACAAGAAAGAUAAAGCCCUUGCUUACAUAGAACUUGGUGAAGAAUCUAGACCAUAAGAAGCACACAGAGAAAAUGUAUCACAAAUUGUGCUAAAGUUCUGUAAAAGGAUUAAGAUGGAGUGUCACAAGACUGAAUUAGACAGAGUGCCCUUGAAAGAGUGCCAGUUUUUAGAAUGGAGGGUAUAGAUCCAUCCUUUGCAACUGGGGAGGACCUCCUCAGUAAGGCACGGAGCCAGGAUUCUAUGCAGCCGUGCAAACAGGGAAACACUACACACACAAUGAAAAGACAUUCUUUUCCUGUCUGUGGUGGAAUCGUCCAAGUUGUUUGGCUUGAUUUCCAGUGUCGACUUUCUAAACCAACAAGAUUUUAAUCCUCUGAUGCCAGAAUGUUAGGAGUGUCUGUUUGUGGGCUGGAUUUUAGUUGCCGAGGUGAAUGAAACCUGGUUCAAGUUGCCUGGCACAGGAAAGCCAAAGAUCCACACCAAGAUUUUGCAGCUAGAGAAAAGAGGGCAUUUAUUCGCAGGGCACCAAGCAAGGAGAAUUGGGUCACUUCUCUAAUGACCUGCUUCAGCUUCACUGCACCCAGAUUGCUGGGAAGAUCAGCAUGCUCAGUAUAUCUGGGAUGUCUGGAGACAGCUGGAACAAAGAAGAGCUGCAGGAGCUGUGAGUGUCAGUCACAACGUGGGUACCACUCUGGUCCUCAGUGGCCUGCUCUUCAAAGCACCCCAGCAGCCUUCACUGCCGAGGACCUCAGUAACCCUCAUGGUCACCAGAGAAUCCUCACUGCUUCCACCAAUGAGAAUCCUAUCAUGUCUGCUUCAAACACCAGAGCCACCACUAUGGGAUCACUGUCUUUCAUUGUCUGAUAUUUAUUGAAAACUUGUUUAUUUUCAGCUUUUUAUUGUUUCAGGUCUGCCAAGUACCAGCCUUAAGCCAGCAUAAGGUAUAAAAUGAAUGAGCCAAGACUCCGCCUGUGACAUGUUACUGUACACCUCAAGAAGAACCCUGGCAGUAUG
Molecule: long non-coding RNA, 1099 nt
Filed under: Macaca mulatta (Rhesus monkey)
Lineage: Eukaryota; Metazoa; Chordata; Mammalia; Primates; Cercopithecidae
Description: lncRNA (ENSMMUG00000045588.2)
Source: RNAcentral